This 403-nucleotide ribosomal RNA is filed under the name uncultured bacterium. RNAcentral describes it as "partial 16S ribosomal RNA". It matches the Rfam family "Bacterial small subunit ribosomal RNA", at positions 28 to 526 of the family's 1533-position model. The record is from RNAcentral.
GACGAACGCUGGCGGCGUGCCUAAUACAUGCAAGUCGAACGCAGUGGGGACGGGUGAGUAACACGUGGGUAACCUCCCAUCAGAGGGGAUAACACUUGGAAACAGGUGCUAAACCGAUACUGAUGGAUGGACCCGCGGUGCAUUAGCUACUUGGGGAGGUAACGGGUCACCAAGGCCGCGAUGCAUAGCCGACCUGAGAGGGGGAGCGGCCACACUGGGACUGGGACACGGCCCAGGCGCCUACGGGAGGCAGCAGUAGCGAAUCUGCGGCAAGGGACGAAAGUCGGACCGAGCAACGCCGCGUGAGUUAAGGAGGUGUUCGGAUCGUAAAACUCUGUUGUUAGAGAAGCGGUAUCUAACCAGAAAGCCACGGCUAACUACGUGCCAGCAGCCGCGGUAAUAC